UUAAAGGGAUAGAAAAUUAAUAAUUAAAUAAAAUAAAAUAGUAAAAUCAGAAUUAAAAUAGAAAAUUAAGAUGGAUAGAUUUUAUGAAGUUCUAGAAAUUAUAAUGUCGAUAUUCGGGGAAAACAGAUCGCGAGGAAACAUUUCCUCUGAUCAGGGGAUGCUGCGGAAUUGAAACGUGAACAAUAAAUCGUUCAUCGAAGCCGAGAAACGGGCGGAUUUCCAAUCGACGCGAGAAAGUUUCAUUAUUUUUGCGAACAUUUUAACGAUGCCUCCCGCGUUGCGCAAUCUGUCACGCGGUUAACGUUGCAAAGCGUUCCCCGAUUGUACUGCAAAUGGUGGUUUAACGUUAUCAAACGUGCGCAUUUAAUUCCGACAUAUUAAUUCUUGUCCCUCGAGCCUUGUAAUUUUCGCGACAGCUGUACCGCAGAAAAUAUUUUCCAGUCCAUUGCAAUUAUCGUUGUUCCACGUCAGCCGGGCGAUGUAAUUCUGCAAAUUGUAAUUUUAAAAUCGAUUAAUUAAUGUCAAACGCGAGGAUUAGUCCGCGAUCUAAUAAUCGGCCGCCACGGUUAUUGUAAUUGAAUCCCGCGGGAAAUUAAUUCCGCGCGAACAAUUUCGGAAAAUUGAGGUCUUCCAUUCGACGGGACACUUACGAGAAUUAUAUAUAAUUUGUCGGCCGUCCGUCGAUCGAACGAACGAAAUUAAUUAACAGAGCCAUUAAUACGUUCGACAAGAUGUGCAAUAAUAAUUCAUACGGUCGAAUCGGUCCUCCCAUUGUUCCUGUAUCAUUUCCCAUCGAUGAAUGCGGAUUUCGGCAUGGAUAAUGGGACUGCGCUGCUUUCAGAUCCAGCUGGAUUAUCUUUUCUUUGAAAAUCAUUCGGCCGUGAUCGGAUUUCGUUUAACUGCGACGAUCAAUUAUCCCGUGACUUUUUCUUUGACGGAGUUCAAUCCUCCGGUCUGAAUCAAAUUUUUUAAUUAAACGAAUCCUGCCAUUCGCGGAUAAAGUAUACAUAUAGCCUGUUCGCUGGGGAAAAAAUGAUUUUUAUUUGAAAUAUUACCACCGGCACCAAAUUGUUUAUUUUACAAUCUUCUCACCCGACGAAUGCAAUUUUCGUUGAAUAUAAAUGCUCACGGUUUCGCAUCGAUGAAUUUCAUAUUUUCGUGAUAUCGAACAACUGUAAAUAUUUAUUGCAGACAAAGUAUCAUUCCAGGAAUGGUGAUGGAAGGUAUCGAAAGGUUAGUUAGCCAUGCAUAGAGUUCGUCGAAAUAAACAGAGCCGGCGGGGCGUCACGUAAGGGUUGCAAACGGGAUCGGAUGUGCCUUGUUAAUUUUUAACCAUGCCUUCGCGACCCAGACACGUAUAUCGAUGACACAGUCGACGAAAGCUAAUUCCUCUGCUUCGAGAUUACGGGGGAUCAUCGAUUCCAUCUCUCCAUUAAGGGUAGUAUAAAAAUUUCAAAAGCCCUCGAAAGCGAAUUUUUACAGCUUCUUCGAUCAUGAAACUUUGCACGGUUCAGGUUUACAGUAAAGAUAUCUCGGAAGGUGUUAUAACAUUAAAAAUGUAUUUAAAGGAAGGAGCAAGCUGACUAAAGUUUUCGACAUUUUGAAGAACGCGUGGAGAUUUUACAAACACCUCGAGGAUUUAUGAAAAAGGUUGAGAAUAGCGAAGAACGGCUCCCGAAUUUUGGAAAAUUCUACGAAGAACGCUUGAGCGUCCAAUGAAUAUUUAAAGAGGAUAUUCUUCGGCCGGCAUGGAGAAGGAACGGCGAAAGGGCGAACGAAAAAUCGGCCGCAGAAAUGUUCAAGUCGUUGCUAUGUGAAACGAAGAGAUACUUCGAAACCGAAGGAACGGAAUUACACGCGAAAACUGCGGAGGACGGGUCAGCUUUGGCGGAAAUGUCACGCCGGGGCCAAGUGUCGCAGAUAUAAGACGAAAAGGAAUUGCCGAUGUUUAUAAAUACCACUCGAUUCGAGCGAUACGAUAAUUGGACACUCCAUCUAUUCAAUUCCAUCGGUGCAUGCUGCAACGGUGCAGGCUGCAUCGGUGCAUAUUGAUUCGACCCCCUGUGCACGACCGCUUCUCGCUUACUGAAACCUUGUGUAUCACUAUAGAAAAUUACAGCGACUCCCGCAACGAGAACUAA
Non-coding RNA from Megalopta genalis, 2141 nucleotides. Lineage: Eukaryota; Metazoa; Arthropoda; Insecta; Hymenoptera; Halictidae. The record is from RefSeq and is a predicted model, not a curated record.